UGCCCAGUUGGUCAAGGUCCUAGCUACUAGA
RNAcentral lists this non-coding RNA (31 nucleotides) under Homo sapiens (human). The record is from RNAcentral. Lineage: Eukaryota; Metazoa; Chordata; Mammalia; Primates; Hominidae.